GGACUACCGGGGUUUCUAAUCCUGUUCGCUCCCCUAGCUUUCGCACCUGAGCGUCAGUGACCAGCCAGGACACUGCCUUCGCCUUUGGUAUUCCUCCGGAUAUCUACGCAUUUCACCACUCCACCCGGAAUUCUAUGUCCCUCUCUGGUCCUCAAGUCUUCCAGUUUUUGAAGACCUUGCUCAGUUAAGCCGAGCACUGUCACUCCAAACUUCGAAGACCGCCUGCGUGCGCUUUACGCCCAGUAACUCCGGACAACGCUCGCCCCCUACGUAUUACCGCGGCUGCUGGCAC
RNAcentral lists this ribosomal RNA (292 nucleotides) under uncultured bacterium. RNAcentral's name for it is "partial 16S ribosomal RNA". The record is from RNAcentral.